UAGUAUAAAAUCUAUCUCAUUUUUAUGG
This 28-nucleotide non-coding RNA is filed under the name Bombyx mori (domestic silkworm). The record is from RNAcentral. Lineage: Eukaryota; Metazoa; Arthropoda; Insecta; Lepidoptera; Bombycidae.